GAGGGGUAACAGGGGAGCUUGCUCCCGCUGACGACCGGCGAAUGGGUGAGUAACGCGUAUCCAACCUGGCUCUGGCCCGGGGAUAGCCCUUAGAAAUGAGGAUUAAAACCCGAUACGUCUCGCUUCCGCAUGGCGGCGCGAUGAAACGAGGCAAGAGAUGGGGAUGCGUAGGAUUAGGUUGUUGGCGGGGUAGAGGCCCACCAAGCCGUCGAUCCUUAGGGGUUCUGAGAGGAAGGUCCCCCACACUGGAACUGAGACACGGUCCAGACUCCUACGGGAGGCAGCAGUGAGGAAUAUUGGUCAAUGGGCGAGAGCCUGAACUAGCCAAGUAGCGUGCAGGAUGACGGCCCUACGGGUUGUAAACUGCUUUUGUGCGGGAAUAAAAAAGCCCACGCGUGGGUUCUUGCAUGUACCGCAACGAAUAAGGACCGGCUAAUUCCGUGCCAGCAGCCGCGGUAAUACGGAAGGUCCGAGCGUUAUCCGGAUUUAUUGGGUUUAAAGGGAGCGCAGGCGGAGAUGCAAGCCAGCCGUAAAAUCGUCGGGCUCAACCCGAUCUCGCGGUUGGAACUGCAUCCCUUGAGUGCGGGAGAGGAAGGCGGAACUCGUGGUGUAGCGGUGAAAUGCAUAGAUAUCACGAAGAACUCCGAUCGCGAAGGCAGCUUUCCGGCCCGUAACUGACGCUGAGGCUCGAAGGCGCGGGUAUCAAACAGGAUUAGAUACCCUGGUAGUCCGCGCAGUAAACGAUGGAUGCUCGCGUUUUGGGGAUUAUCCUUGAGACGCCAAGCGAAAGCGUUAAGCAUCCCACCUGGGGAGUACGCCGGCAACGGUGAAACUCAAAGGAAUUGACGGGGGCCCGCACAAGCGGAGGAACAUGUGGUUUAAUUCGAUGAUACGCGAGGAACCUUACCCGGGCUUGAAAUGCGACUGACGGGACUGAGAGACCAGUCCUUCCUUCGGGCAGUCGUGUAGGUGCUGCAUGGUUGUCGUCAGCUCGUGCCGUGAGGUGUCGGCUUAAGUGCCAUAACGAGCGCAACCCUUACCGCCGGUUACCAUCGGGUAAUGCCGGGGACUCCGGCGGCACUGCCAUCGCAAGAUGUGAGGAAGGCGGGGAUGACGUCAAAUCAGCACGGCCCUUACGUCCGGGGCCACACACGUGUUACAAUGGGGGGCACAGCGAGCUGGAUGAUGGCGACAUCAUUCGAAUCAUGAAAUCCCCUCCCAGUUCGGACUGGAGUCUGCAACCCGACUCCACGAAGCUGGAUUCGCUAGUAAUCGCGCAUCAGCCAUGGCGCGGUGAAUACGUUCCCGGGC
Molecule: ribosomal RNA, 1311 nt
Filed under: uncultured bacterium
Lineage: Bacteria
Description: bacterial SSU rRNA
Rfam family: Bacterial small subunit ribosomal RNA
Source: RNAcentral